This is a long non-coding RNA of Struthio camelus australis, 2285 nucleotides long. The record is from Ensembl. Lineage: Eukaryota; Metazoa; Chordata; Aves; Struthioniformes; Struthionidae.
AAUGUUCUGGGGUAAGAAAACUCCUAGUUUAAAUUCAGAUUAUUCGGAAACUGCUUCUCAUAAACUGAAAUGGUCCACUGAUCAGGUAGAGGAGUUUAUGUAAAAGUUAUGGGGGAAAAAAGAUUCCUGGAUAUGAGCUGGAAAACACUGGCUUCUGAUUUUUCUUUGUGUUCUUCCCAGUCCAUUGAAAUGAGGUUGGUACUACACUUUAAAGCUGAACAGCUUGGAUACCCCAUUUGACCUACCUCUAAAGUUAUUGGAGGGAAAACUGCUUCUGGAGCUGUGGAAAUUAUGCAGUUUGACCCUCUUGCUUUUAUCCUGCAGAGGCUUUACGUAAGUCCUUUUAUGAUGUACUCUCCACCUCAUCAGUUGCCUUCAUCCAAGGUGCCAGAGCAUUGGACAAUGCUUAAUUGAAUCUAAAGAGACUCCUGUGCUAAGGAAGAGAGCUGUUUUUACAGGUGGCAAAAUUAUGUUACCUUGAGUCAGCUGUUGAGACAGUAGCAGUGGAAAGAGGCUUAGUCCUCCAUCCCAGUCAGUGGAAAAGCAGCAGGCUUUUUGGAUGCAGUCAGCUGGGCAAACCUGCUGCUAUAGAAGGUGUAUGAAGAGGGCUGACUGUGGGUGAAAAAGUGAAUUCCUUGGUUUGAAUAUGGAUGGCAACGGUAGAAGAGAAACUACUGUGCCUCGGUAGAAACUGCUUGGGUGAUGAAGGCUGUGGUGUUGCUUUAGGCUCAGGCUGCAAUAUGUGAUGUGGUAGUUUUGCUUAAUGACUGGAGUAUUGAACUGGAAUUCAAGACCUUAAUCUUGCUCACAGAUUUACUGUACUCUUCUAGGUGAUGGAAAAAUUGCCCUUUCUUUUCUGACCUCUUCUGUGAAGCUCAGAAGUCUGUACGUGAAAAAAUGCUCUGUCAGCCCUUUUUUUGGAUUAUUCUGCAGGGACACUUCCUCCAGCUGUCCCUAAAGUUCAGAUGUCUCCUUGCCUUCUGCUCUCCACCCUCUGCGAUUCCUCCCUUGAGUACAGAAUACAGCAGAUACUGGGAAACAUCUUACUUUUUUGUAAGGCAUUUCUGCCUCACCUCAAUUUCUGAAACUGUAUUUCACUUCUUCAGUAACUCCAGCUAAGUAUAAACCAAUUCUUUCUUUCUAAGUGGAAAUCCUCUUUGGGAUGCAGGAGGAAAACUGAGUCUCACAAGCUGUUAAGAGAAAUUAGAACUCUAUUCAUGUCCCUACCGCUGCAGAAAGCCAGCGUUCUCUUACUCCAGCUGGCUAAGACCCGAGUCUCCAAACACUGGCAUGAUGUACCUUAAUGGUUUUCCUGACACUAAUAUUAGUGAUUGUUUUGCAGUAACUAACUAAAUCUUUCAUCAUGGUGAAGAAAUAUCUCAGGCUGUUGAUUUUAAACAAAAAAGCCCACGCCUUUAUGUGUCAUUGCACCCACAAUGAUUUGGGGCCUCCAACUGCACCUCUCCAACUUACCGUGUCUGGAUUGGAAAGACUUAAGAUGUUGCUGUGCAGUAGCUUCCUGGAACACUUCAAAAAGGGCAUUCACAACAAUAGUUGAUUUGCCAAGACUGAACUUGUAAGCAAUGGGAUUUGUUAUGAUUAUGUGAGCAUACUUUCUCGUUUAUAAGCAGUGCUCUGGUACUUCAGUUUGAAAACCUGCUUAGCACAAUUUCCUUUAAAAUGACUUCUCUCACCCUAAAGUCACCUCUCGCUCUUCAGCAGUCACUGCCAGUGUUGCAUUUCCUAAGGUUCACCAUUGCGCCGUGUGGAUGUGCCCGCGCAGCUGGUUUUUGCUUUCUUUUGGAAGAGCCUCCUAAGGGGUGCCACGUUCCUCAUGUUGACAGCACUCAACAGCAUGUCCACUAUGCUGCAUGGUAGCUUUAAAAGCAAAAAAAAAAAGGCGGGGGGGGAGGGCUGCCAUUAACAGUUCUAGGUCAGCCUUACUUAAAAUUCAUGCCUGUGUAUGUACCCACCUAGUGCAGCACAAGCAAAAUUGGAGCAGAGAGAAUGCAUUAUUUUGCUGCUCAGCUGAGGUAUCUGCUUAGGACCCAGAGGGGUAGGUAGGUUGAACAAGUGCAGGUGGUGGGAAACAAGGGUAAGGGAAGUCAGCCCAAGUCAGCAUGGUAGUGGUGUGGGAGCAGUUCAGUCUUUAAUACAGCAGUUUACAAAAACUAAACAAAAUAAUAUAUGCAACUCCCCACAGGUGUUAUCAGUGCUACUACUUACUAAUGUUCCGAACCCAGCAAGACUCCAGCUGGUGCAAUAAAAUGCCAUAUAAUGAUGCA